GUCUUGUGUCAAAGAAGAAACAUGUUUGGAAUAAACAAUUUCGUUCCCAGUGUGGAAUUCCAUCAAGUGUUGGGAAUGCAAGGGAGAAUUUGAUAAAGACAAGUGUGCGGAUCCAUUCUAUAAAAGUGUCGGGACAGACUGGGGGGAGACGUGCACAGCCUGCUUAAAAACAAAAGUGAACGGAGUCGUAAUCAGGGCGUGCGCCCCAACCGCCGCACCUGACACGUGCGAUAAGUCGAGUGGAGGUGAAAUCUGUACUUGUAAAGGCGAUUACUGCAAUGGCUCCAACACCCUGGCGGUUUCUACGGCACCGCUGCUUGCCGCCACACUCGCCUUCUUAUUCACACAGUUUUAACACCCAAGACUGACGUGACUGUUUCCUUUAAACUUCAAACUGUUUGCAGUCUUGAUGCUUUUGAAUUCAUGUUGCAUAUUUAAAUAUACUCAAAAAAUAACAAUAUGCAUUUAUAUAUAAUACAUACUGUAUUUCUGUUAUAAAAUGAUCAUUUUUACAGCAAUAGAUGUAGCAUAAAACAUAAUUAAAUAAAGAAGCAAGUUUAAAGUUACAAACAUUAUUUAUUAUGUUUAAAUCAUACUAAAAUAUGCACCACCAUAUCGGUUGCUUUAUUGUAAGAUGUAAGAUCGCGAGGCGUUAUUUUGAUUACA
Long non-coding RNA from Dreissena polymorpha, 666 nucleotides. RefSeq lists it as uncharacterized. Lineage: Eukaryota; Metazoa; Mollusca; Bivalvia; Myida; Dreissenidae. The transcript has 4 exons. The record is from RefSeq and is a predicted model, not a curated record.